Molecule: transfer RNA, 82 nt
Filed under: Peptococcus niger
Lineage: Bacteria; Bacillati; Bacillota; Clostridia; Eubacteriales; Peptococcaceae
Also listed under: 3 other names
Description: tRNA-Leu
Rfam family: tRNA
About the family: Transfer RNA (tRNA) molecules are approximately 80 nucleotides in length. Their secondary structure includes four short double-helical elements and three loops (D, anti-codon, and T loops).
Source: RNAcentral
GCGGUUGUGGCGGAAUAGGCAUACGCGCACGUUUGAGGGGCGUGUGGGGAGACCCGUGCGAGUUCAAGUCUCGCCAACCGCA